This 73-nucleotide transfer RNA is filed under the name Ixodes scapularis (black-legged tick). It matches the Rfam family "tRNA". From Rfam's summary of the family: Transfer RNA (tRNA) molecules are approximately 80 nucleotides in length. The record is from Rfam by way of RNAcentral. Lineage: Eukaryota; Metazoa; Arthropoda; Arachnida; Ixodida; Ixodidae.
UCCUGGCUAACUCAGUUGGUAGAGCACUCCACUGGGAAUGGAGAGACCUCUGGUUUGAUACCAGGACCAGGCG